ACCCCGGCAGGGAAGUGCCGCCCGAGGACAGCCCUGCGGUGUCACAGCGCUUUUUCCACGGCUUCUUGUGGGGCAGGUUCUCUCCGCGGGGUGAGGAGCACCAGUUCGCCGUGCUGUGCUCCCUGUUUGUCGUUUUCCUGAUAGCAAACGAGUGCGCCGCAUCUCGUGCCAAGUGUGGCAGUGGUUUCUGCCACAGGGCCUCCGUGACAGCUGGACCAAGGCUUCAACCACCCAUCCACUUGUGGCCAUGGCACCUUGCCGGCUGGCUUGGACGCCAGGCCUGCUCCUUAGGCUCUGACACUCAGCAGCACUUCCCCCCAUUCUGCUGUCCCCUCUGCCUUCCUGCCACCUCGUUACCUUCCAGCUAACCACCUCGUUACCUUCCAGCUAACCACCUCGUCAGUGGGCUGCAAUAGCACAGAGGUUUGAGCAGUGUAACACAACCAAACAGAGCCACGCUGUGCCAGGGGCUCAGCCGUCUUGCUGCUGGGAUCAGGCUCGCUCACACGAGGCAUCUCAGCUUUAUUUUCAAAACAUUCCUCAAGAAGCUGUCUUGUCUUCUCACCCUCAUAAAUGACAGCAGUCUCUGGAGUCAGAGGAGUGAGAAAAAAGAACUGCAGAAUCCCUCUGACAAGACUUGCUCCUUUGCCCAUGCGGCAGCCAUGCACACUUUGUGAAAGUGAGUGUGAGUUUCCAGACCAAAAUGAGGAAUUUCUAUUUUGCAAUAGUAUCAACAACAUGAGGGCACUUUACUCCAAGCUGAACAUCACAAGGGAACUGCUUGAAGUAAAAAACAAUUUCAAUUUAUGAUGAAAAAGAUACCCAUCUCCAGCAUGGAAAGCAAAUGCUCAUUUCCAGUAUUCUAAGCUGCUCCUCAUGUCCUGCUAAAUGGCUGUUGUGACAUUACUGUUAUUCUGCUAGCAUGAUGGUUUCCAAAGAUAGUAUUUCUUCGAAUGACAAUGAUGAAGUUUCACUGCUGCUGUACAAAUCGUUAAUUGUUUUUCUGUCAUGCCUCGAGGCCUUGGUGAGGACUCCUUCCAUUGCAUUCCAUUCCUAUGGAGAAUUCAGAAGAGACAUUCCCACUGCCUCAGGUGCUGCAUUCUCGUGAAGGAUCGGGGAGGAUUCCAGGGAGAUACAGACCUGAAUAAGCAACUCUUUAAGAGACGAAUUUAAUUUUAAAAAAAUGAAGAUGCAAAAAGAAGAUCACUGCUGAGGAGUGCAAUCCACAGCUCAUUUUCUGUGCGGAAGAAUACAAGUGAUGUACAAAGAGGAAUCAUAACAGGGAUGGAUGAAAGAGAAAAGAUUGCUGGACAAGUAAACCAUAAAAGAUUUUUUUUAAUGGAGUAUGCUUACUUUUAUGUAAAUCUGCAGCAGAUCCACUUGCCCCCGUUUCACUGACAAUUAAGUUUCUGAGACAUACAAAGUUGCAAACAAAUAUGGCCUGAAAAUGGCAACAGAGAAAUUGGUUGGGGUAUAUUUACUCUUAGAAGAAGUAGUGUAGAGCCAGGAGUGCCAUGAGAAAAGCUCAGUGAAGUGUAUUUCUUGAAAAUACAAGGGAAAGCAGUUUCAACACCUCAUGUAAGUGUGUUUCUCUAAAGUCCAAAAGAGAGCUGCUUCCAAAUUCCGAAGCUACAGCUUGCCUUCACUGAAAAGCUUGACAUCAAGAGUCACAGCUACAUGGCAGUAAGCUGUGCCAAGGGGAGUUUGGAGCUUUCUAAGAGGACACCUGUACCACCCCAGCCUGCUCCAGCACUCAGAAUGGCCCUAACACCUGUGGGGAAAUCCAGCUGUGCUCAGCGUUCAACGCAAGCCCUCCUAGGCUAAUCCUCUUUGAUCCUCCAGGACAGUGAAGAGACCAUGAGUUGUGAUCAAAUUUGCCUCAGGGCUGAUUUUAGACCCCACAAGAUGUCCAAAAUUGGACACAAUCCACAGAGCCUUUAAGCCCCUUUUCAAAGUGUUCCAGAAAUAUGAACUUUGUGCUCAACAAUAUCUGAUUGGUAUAAGCCACUCUUUAAUUUUCUCAUCUUCUGUCACAUGAGGGCAAGUCAUACUUCCUCUGCCUCUUCCUUCCUGAAGUUCCUGUGGACACAAGCGGAAUGGGGAAGCACUGGUGCUUGGAGCUGGGAGCCCUUCUCCUCGGGCAAUGUCCAACUUUUGCCUUCCAAGCUGCCACUGAGGGUUGAACUUUUAAACUGCUGACUUUGUACAGAGAAAGAAGGAAAAAAAGAAGAGAAAAGAAAGCAAGAAACAAUCUGGAGCUAUGCCCUUUUCUUUGUCUUCUCUCCUUGACAUUACAAUUAAGUGUUUGUUUAAAGGGAAAGCAAAAUAAAUGUUGCAAUAUGAACAAUAUGAA
Molecule: long non-coding RNA, 2353 nt
Organism: Numida meleagris (helmeted guineafowl)
Lineage: Eukaryota; Metazoa; Chordata; Aves; Galliformes; Numididae
Exons: 2
Source: RefSeq, a predicted model, not a curated record